RNAcentral lists this ribosomal RNA (410 nucleotides) under Verrucomicrobiota bacterium. Its description in RNAcentral is "Verrucomicrobia bacterium partial 16S ribosomal RNA". It matches the Rfam family "Bacterial small subunit ribosomal RNA", at positions 355 to 776 of the family's 1533-position model. The record is from RNAcentral. Lineage: Bacteria; Pseudomonadati; Verrucomicrobiota.
UGGGGAAUCUUGCGCAAUGGGGGAAACCCUGACGCAGCGACGCCGCGUGCGGGAUGAAGGCCUUCGGGUUGUAAACCGCUUUCAGCAGGGACGAGGCCUUAUGGUGACGGUACCUGCAGAAGAAGCUCCGGCUAAAUACGUGCCAGCAGCCGCGGUAAUACGUAGGGGGCUAGCGUUGUCCGGAAUCACUGGGCGUAAAGGGUUCGCAGGCGGAAAUGCAAGUCAGGUGUAAAAGGCAGUAGCUUAACUACUGUAAGCAUUUGAAACUGCAUAUCUUGAGAAGAGUAGAGGUAAGUGGAAUUUUUAGUGUAGCGGUGAAAUGCGUAGAUAUUAAAAAGAAUACCGGUGGCGAAGGCGACUUACUGGGCUCAUUCUGACGCUGAGGAACGAAAGCGUGGGUAGCAAACAGG